GCUGAGUUUGGGGGAGCAGAAGAGUCUCGCGGGGAUAGUCAGUGCGCAGGGAGACUAGCACAGGCCGGCAGAGAAGUGACCCAGCCCCGGAUUGCCUGGUAACCUUCCGUUCCCAGGAGGCUGCUGUGAGGCUCCUCUGGAAGUGAGAGUUCAGAGAGCAGAGACAACUGUCCAGAGCUAGACCUUGAAGACUCCUCAACGCUGAAGGUCACCGAGAGGAGGGACAGCCAAGGAAACUGAGUCGCAGCAGCCGUGGAGGCAGGCGGGUGAGCACAGAGGGCAACAGAGGGGAGGUUUCUCUGAGCAGCGGGGGUGGCCGCGUUGGAUGUUACUAGGAGGACUGAUAAGAUGGGAAGGGGCAGCCAAAGCCAGCCUGCAGUGAAUUGAAGGGGGAACAUGAGGAGAGGAAGCCGAGGCAGCCAACGUACCCACCACCGUCAGGAAGCCCUGCAGUGCUGGCUGGGGCAGGGGGCAGAUUGAGUAGAGGCCACCGGAGGGCCAGUAAGAUUGGGCAGGUCUUCAUCGGUGACCUUUGGAUGGGUUCCCUGCCUGGAAACAUAGAGACAAAUCCUGACUGCCCUUGAAUUGGCAGUGGGACCUCAGGCAAAUUGAGUUGAGUGAGAGAUAGUAUAUAAGGGUGUUUUAAUGUGUGCUGAGUGAUACAGAGUGGGAGGGAUGAACACCCCAUGGUAGGUACAUGCACACAGGGGGACCCCGCUCAGCAACAGCAGGGGACAAGCUACUGAAACCCACAGCAACGAGGACAGAUUUCAGAAUCGCUACAGGGAGGGAAAGAAGCCAGAAUUCAGAAGGGCACCUGCAGUACAAAUCAUUUCUAAGAAGUUUUAGAACAGGAAACACUCAUCUAUAAUGAAAUAAAAACCUGAACAGGGGUUGCCGCAGGGGGCAGUGUGGGGGUGGCCUGACUGGCAAGGGACACGAAGGAACCUUCUGAGGGGACGGGAACAUCCUUCCCUUGGGAGGAGUCUGAUUUAACAGAUGUCUGCAUUUGUCACAAUCCAGCAAAUGGUGCACUUAAGAUUGGAACAUUUCACUCUAUGUAAAUUUUACCUAAAAUGAACUAUAAAGGCAUUCCUGAAUGCUACUUAAUGAUAUACAUGUGGAGACCUUUGGGAGUGAAGUGUACUGAGGUUUGUGGCUCCCCUUGAAAGGUGGAAAACAAUAAGAUGAAGUAAUGGGUAGAUGCAGAGCUGUGUGAUGAAGAGAUACAGUAAAAUGCCAUCUAGGGGGUACAUAUGUGGGUGUUCACUGGAAAAUGCAUUCAACUUUUCUGUGUGUUUGAAAAUCUUUAUAAUAAAAUGUUGAGGGGAAAUUUAAAAAAAAGGAUGUGAAACUACUUUUCUUUUCUUUUUUUUUUUUUUUUUUUGAGACAGAGUUUCGCUCUUUGUUGCCCAGGCUGGAGUGCAGUGGUGUGAUCUCG
This 1441-nucleotide long non-coding RNA is filed under the name Homo sapiens (human). Its description in RNAcentral is "HSALNT0399799". The record is from RNAcentral. Lineage: Eukaryota; Metazoa; Chordata; Mammalia; Primates; Hominidae.